Molecule: ribosomal RNA, 506 nt
Filed under: uncultured bacterium
Lineage: Bacteria
Description: partial 16S ribosomal RNA
Rfam family: Bacterial small subunit ribosomal RNA
Source: RNAcentral
AGUGAACGCUGGCGGUAGGCCUAACACAUGCAAGUCGAACGGCAGCACAGGAGAGCUUGCUCUCUGGGUGGCGAGUGGCGGACGGGUGAGGAAUACAUCGGAAUCUACUUUUUCGUGGGGGAUAACGUAGGGAAACUUACGCUAAUACCGCAUACGACCUACGGGUGAAAGCAGGGGAUCUUCGGACCUUGCGCGAUUGCAUGAGCCGAUGUCGGAUUAGGUAGUUGGCGGGGUAAAGGCCCACCAAGGCGACGAUCCGUAGCUGGUCUGAGAGGAUGAUCAGCCACACUGGAACUGAGACACGGUCCAGACUCCUACGGGAGGAAGCAGUGGGGAAUAUUGGACAAUGGGCGCAAGCCUGAUCCAGCCAUACCGCGUGGGUGAAGAAGGCCUUCGGGUUGUAAAGCCCUUUUGUUGGGAAAGAAAUCCAGCUGGUUAAUACCCGGUUGGGAUGACGGUACCCAAAGAAUAAGCACCGGCUAACUUCGUGCCAGCCGCCGCCGUAA